AACGAACGCUGGCGGCAUGCCUAACACAUGCAAGUCGAACGAGACCUUCGGGUCUAGUGGCGCACGGGUGCGUAACGCGUGGGAACCUGCCCUUAGGUUCGGAAUCACUCCCCGAAAGGGGUGCUAAUACCGGAUAAUGUCUUCGGACCAAAGAUUUAUCGCCUUUGGAUGGGCCCGCGUUGGAUUAGCUAGUUGGUAGGGUAAAAGCCUACCAAGGCGACGAUCCAUAGCUGGUCUGAGAGGAUGAUCAGCCACACUGGGACUGAGACACGGCCCAGACUCCUACGGGUGGCAGCAGGGGGGAAUAUUGGACAAUGGGCGAAAGCCUGAUCCAGCAAUGCCGCGUGAGUGAUGAAGGCCUUAGGGUUGUAAAGCUCUUUUACCCGGGAUGAUAAUGACAGUACCGGGAGAAUAAGCUCCGGCUAACUCCGU
RNAcentral lists this ribosomal RNA (432 nucleotides) under uncultured bacterium. RNAcentral describes it as "partial 16S ribosomal RNA". It matches the Rfam family "Bacterial small subunit ribosomal RNA", at positions 29 to 506 of the family's 1533-position model. The record is from RNAcentral.